Molecule: long non-coding RNA, 412 nt
Filed under: Homo sapiens (human)
Lineage: Eukaryota; Metazoa; Chordata; Mammalia; Primates; Hominidae
Description: non-protein coding lnc-TCEAL2-3:1
Source: RNAcentral
AUCUACCAGAACACUUUAAGGUUGCCUACGAAAAAAUUGACCAGUACCAAACAUUGCAGCAACACAAAAAGAAAAAUUGCUCAUUCAAAAGGAAAGGGAUUGUAAGGUGGCAUAGAGCUGUGUCUACAAGCUUCAUUAAACAAAAUAUAUUGGACCCCUAAAAUCAUCCAGAUAGGGAUAGGGACAUGAGAUUUGAGCAAACUCAGAAAAAAAAUUGAUGAAGAAAGUGAAGACUGCUUUUGGGAGGGUGCUGUUACACAAGUACAGAGGAAAGCCAGCAAGUGCUAGAAAAGAGGGAUCCACUAACCAUAAGGGAGACCGCCUGUCAAACACAGAGCUUGUUCCUAGGAUUGUCAAGAAGCUUUCAUAUCCCAACUUAUUUACACCCAAAAUGAGAAAACUCUCAGAGAAU